This 329-nucleotide ribosomal RNA is filed under the name uncultured eukaryote. Its description in RNAcentral is "partial 18S ribosomal RNA". It matches the Rfam family "Eukaryotic small subunit ribosomal RNA", at positions 1470 to 1796 of the family's 1831-position model. The record is from RNAcentral.
CCCUUAGAUGUUCUGGGCUGCACGCGCGCUACACUGAUGCACUCAACGAGUUUACGACCUUGCCCGAUAGGGUUGGGUAAUCUUUUUAAAAUGCGUCGUGAUGGGGAUAGAUUAUUGCAAUUAUUAAUCUUCAACGAGGAAUGCCUAGUAAGCGCAAGUCAUCAGCUUGCGUUGAUUACGUCCCUGCCCUUUGUACACACCGCCCGUCGCUCCUACCGAUUGAAUGGUCCGGUGAAGCGUUCGGACCGUGGCCUUUGGACGGUUCGCCGUCUGUUGGCUGCGGGAAGUUCGUUAAACCUUAUCAUUUAGAGGAAGGAGAAGUCGUAACA